Strigops habroptila (Kakapo) is the source of this 1307-nucleotide RNA transcript. It is a transcript of the gene named dicarbonyl and L-xylulose reductase, with no coding region annotated. Lineage: Eukaryota; Metazoa; Chordata; Aves; Psittaciformes; Psittacidae. The transcript has 9 exons. The record is from RefSeq and is a predicted model, not a curated record.
GGGCUGGCGGGCCCGCCCAGGCCGCAGUCCGCGCUCCUCCCGCAGCAUGGAGCCUCACCUCGGCUUCCGCGGGCGCCGGGCUCUGGUGACUGGAGCCGGCAAAGGGAUCGGGCGCGCCGUGGCCGUGGCGCUGAGCAAGGCCGGGGCCCGCGUGACGGCGCUGAGCCGCACCGCGGCGGACCUGGAGAGCCUCGCCCAAGAGUGCCCGGGAAUCGAGCCCCUAUGCCUGGACCUGGCCGACUGGGACGCCACGGAGACGGCGGUCGGCGCGGCGGGGCCCUUCGAGCUGCUGGUGAACAACGCGGCCGUGGCGGUGCUGCAGCCCUUCCUGGAGGUGACGCGGGAGGCCCUGGAGCGGUGAGUGCCGCGGAGUCGGGCUCCCCGGAGGCCGCUGCCCUCGGCUGCGCUGAGGCCCCGCGGGGCGGGCGCUGCCGGCCGAGCGUCAGCCAAACCCGAGCGCCGGAAUGUGGCAAGGCUGUCCAGAAGCUGGUGUCUCCUAGAAAGGAAGCAGCUGUGCAAGGGCACCGGGUGAUGGCGUGCACACACCGUCCAGCCUGCACGGGACACAGGAGCACCUUUCCCUGUUAAUCAGGCUCAGAGCUUCCAUUCUAGCUCCAACCCAACCUCUGCUAAAUGGAAAGGCAGUUGUUAUUAAGAUAAUUCAAAUAUAGAGAAGACAAAGCCAGGUCUCUUGAUGUGAAUCUUCAGGCUGUGCUUCAUGUUUCCCAGAUUGUGGCUCGGCAGAUGAUUGCACAGGGGGUGGCGGGUGCUAUUGUGAACGUCUCGAGUCAGGCAUCUCGGCGUGCUCUGCGGGAUCAUGCUGUGUACUGUUCCACGAAAAGUGCUUUGGAUAUGCUGAGCAAGGUAAUGGCAAUGGAACUAGGACCCCACAAGAUUCGGGUUAACACUGUGAACCCCACAGUGGUUAUGACUGACAUGGGGAGAAUUAACUGGAGCGAUCCUCAGAAAUCUGCUGCCAUGAUUAAUCGAAUUCCACUGGGAAAGUUUGCAGAGGUGGAUGAUGUGGUGAACAGCAUUCUCUUCCUGCUGAGUGACAAGAGCGCUAUGACAACUGGCAGCUCACUGAUGGUUGAUGGGGGAUUUCUUGUCUCCUAAGAUGACACCUGCGUUUCACACCUGGCCUUAAUUUCCAUACUAGUACUGCACAGCUGUAAACUGGAUAGAAAACAAUGACCCAGACCCAGUCUUGCUGGAGAAGAGGGGCAGCAGGCUGGAACCUUUAUGGGAAGUGAGGCAGAAAACUACCUUUAGAAGUUGCUAUAUAAUAAAGCUUAUAUACACCGUCA